ACACUCUAGUUUCUCUUCAGAUUGUAUAAAUUUUUCACCUUUUACUAAAGAUUUCCGUGGAGAGGAACAGGCACGAGUGUCAAGGAAUUUUUCUGAGGCUCCACCUCGGUGGGGCU
RNAcentral lists this small nuclear RNA (116 nucleotides) under Balearica regulorum gibbericeps (East African grey crowned-crane). RNAcentral's name for it is "Balearica pavonina gibbericeps U5 spliceosomal RNA". It matches the Rfam family "U5 spliceosomal RNA". From Rfam's summary of the family: U5 RNA is a component of both types of known spliceosome. The precise function of this molecule is unknown, though it is known that the 5' loop is required for splice site selection and p220 binding, and that both the 3' stem-loop and the Sm site are important for Sm protein binding and cap methylation. Lineage: Eukaryota; Metazoa; Chordata; Aves; Gruiformes; Gruidae. The record is from Rfam by way of RNAcentral.